Molecule: transfer RNA, 64 nt
Organism: Cavia porcellus (domestic guinea pig)
Lineage: Eukaryota; Metazoa; Chordata; Mammalia; Rodentia; Caviidae
Rfam family: tRNA
About the family: Transfer RNA (tRNA) molecules are approximately 80 nucleotides in length. Their secondary structure includes four short double-helical elements and three loops (D, anti-codon, and T loops). Further hydrogen bonds mediate the characteristic L-shaped molecular structure. tRNAs have two regions of fundamental functional importance: the anti-codon, which is responsible for specific mRNA codon recognition, and the 3' end, to which the tRNAs corresponding amino acid is attached (by aminoacyl-tRNA synthetases). tRNAs cope with the degeneracy of the genetic code in two manners: having more than one tRNA (with a specific anti-codon) for a particular amino acid; and 'wobble' base-pairing, i.e. permitting non-standard base-pairing at the 3rd anti-codon position.
Source: Rfam
GGGGAUUUAGCUCAGUGGCAGAAGCACCUGCCUGGCAAGCAUGAGGUCAUAAGUUCAAUCCCCG